AUUUUUUAAUAAAAAUAAUAAUAUAUUAUCGGAGAGCUUUCACCGUUUCAGGAUUUGGGGUGGGGACGAGGGGCCACACAAUACUAGGGUUAGGGCAAGGUAUAGAAAAAUUCGAUAGAUGCGGGGUGAGUCAGGUUGGGACCGAGAACAAUUGCCCUCUCUAAUUGUGAACUUUCAAAUUGUAUAAAAUCUUCUCCAAAAUUAUGCAUUUGGUAACUGAAUGGUCCAACAAUGAUAAUUUAUUCUAAGAUAAAGUACUAUGUAACAAUAAGAGGAAUCAAAUAAAGUUAGCUAAUAAAUCACAUCAGCCAUCAAUUUCCUCUUCAGAAUUUCAUCUCAUUAAUUCAGACUAAUACUCAUAGAAAGAUAAUUAUGAUACAUUUAGUAGGCUUAAUGGAAUGUAAUGUAAUCAAAUAUUCCAUUGAAAUUCAAUAGAAAUUUGACUGUAUUACAUUCCACUAUGCCCGGGCAAACAUAUCAUUAGAGCUUUAUUUCAUUGAAAUAAAAGUACCAUGCUUAUGGAAAGAGUACUCCUUUUUGUACUUGGAAAAGAAGUGUAGCAGUAGCAAAAUAUGCAAGAGAUGCUCCCCCCAUCAUUAUAGCAAAUCCCUAACACAGGUGCUAAUCCUAAUAAACUUCAAUUGAUUUUACAAUUAGCAGAAUAACAUGUUCCUCCAGAUAAAUAUAAACAGGACAGCCCUGCUAAGCCGUCAUCAGCCACACAAUCUAAGUAGAUCUGUAGAAUAUGUAGCUACACAACUCUAUGUUCCAUUCAACAUAUAAGAACAAGGCUAGGAGAAAAAAAGAAAAGCUCUCUGGAGCAAGAGGUGUUUUAGGACUAGUUAUUGAAAUGAUCACGCCAUCGACUGUCACCUGACCACACUCUAUUGUGUUAGUAGUUGAAAGUUUAGACAAUGCAAGGGCCAGGCUAAUGUGUUUGGCCAACAUGGUGUCACUUUUUUUCUACAAAUCGCUCAACCUCGAUGAAUUUCGAUUUUCUAAGGUAAAACAGUCGUAGCUCAAUUCAAAAUCAAAUGGCUCAUUAUUACUUGCAGAUGAACUAGUACCACAGUGAACCCAAUAAAGUAUCAACAACCAAUCUACAAGUUCAAACACACACGUUGCAACAAAAAAAAUGCCCAAGAUGACCUAGGAGAUGGUGGACCCACAAG
RNAcentral lists this unclassified non-coding RNA (1172 nucleotides) under Hevea brasiliensis (rubber tree). The record is from RNAcentral. Lineage: Eukaryota; Viridiplantae; Streptophyta; Magnoliopsida; Malpighiales; Euphorbiaceae.